Molecule: transfer RNA, 72 nt
Organism: Toxocara canis (dog roundworm)
Lineage: Eukaryota; Metazoa; Nematoda; Chromadorea; Rhabditida; Toxocaridae
Rfam family: tRNA
About the family: Transfer RNA (tRNA) molecules are approximately 80 nucleotides in length. Their secondary structure includes four short double-helical elements and three loops (D, anti-codon, and T loops). Further hydrogen bonds mediate the characteristic L-shaped molecular structure. tRNAs have two regions of fundamental functional importance: the anti-codon, which is responsible for specific mRNA codon recognition, and the 3' end, to which the tRNAs corresponding amino acid is attached (by aminoacyl-tRNA synthetases). tRNAs cope with the degeneracy of the genetic code in two manners: having more than one tRNA (with a specific anti-codon) for a particular amino acid; and 'wobble' base-pairing, i.e. permitting non-standard base-pairing at the 3rd anti-codon position.
Source: Rfam
GCGGCAAUAGCUCAGUGGUAGAGCCCACGCUUCGCGUGCGGGAAGACCGGGGUUCGAUUCCCGGCUGCUUCC